This 484-nucleotide ribosomal RNA is filed under the name uncultured bacterium. RNAcentral describes it as "partial 16S ribosomal RNA". It matches the Rfam family "Bacterial small subunit ribosomal RNA", at positions 38 to 507 of the family's 1533-position model. The record is from RNAcentral.
AGGGAAAGAGGGAGGAAGGAGGUACACAUGUAAGUCGAGCGGCAGCGCGGCCUUCGGGUUGGCGGAGAGUGGAGAAAGGGUGAGUAAUGAAUUGGAAGAUGUAUAGUUGUGGGGGAUAACACUUUGAAAGAAGUGCUAAUACCGCAUACGUCCUGAGGGGGAAAGCGGGGGAUCGCAAGACCUCGCGCGAUUGGAGUGGCCGAUGUCAGAUUAGCUAGUUGGUGGGGUAAAGGCCUACCAAGGCGACGAUUUGGAGCUGGUCUGAGAGGAUGAUCAGCCACACUGGGACUGAGACACGGCCCAGACUCCUACGGGAGGCAGCAGUGGGGAAUUUUGGACAAUGGGGGCAACCCUGAUCCAGCCAUUCCGCGUGAGUGAAGAAGGCCUUCGGGUUGUAAAGCUCUUUCUGCACGAACGAAACGGUGGGCUCUAACAUAGUCCGCUAAUGACGGUACCUGAAGAAGAAGCACCGGCUCCCUACGUU